Erinaceus europaeus (western European hedgehog) is the source of this 72-nucleotide non-coding RNA. The record is from Rfam. Lineage: Eukaryota; Metazoa; Chordata; Mammalia; Eulipotyphla; Erinaceidae.
UUCCUGGUGGUCUAGUGGUUAGGAUUUGGCACUUUCACCGCCUUGGCCUGGGUUUGAUUCCCGGUCAGGGAA